GAAAUGCGAUAAGUAAUGUGAAUUGCAGAAUUCAGUGAAUCAUCGAAUCUUUGAACGCACCUUGCGCUCCUUGGUAUUCCUUGGAGCAUGCCUGUUUGAGUAUCAUGAAAUCUUCAAAGUAAAUCUUUUGUUAACUCAAUUGGUUUCUACUUUGGUAUUGGAGGUCUUUGCAGCUUCACACCUGCUCCUCUUUGUUCAUUAGCUGGAUCUCAGUGUUAUGCUUGGUUCCACUCGGCGUGAUAAGUUAUCUAUCGCUGAGGACACUGUAAAAGGUGGCCAAGGUAAAUGCACAUGAACCGCUUCUAAUAGUCCAUUGACUUGGACAAUACUUUUAUGAUCUGAUCUCAAAUCAGGUAGGACUACCCGCUGAACUUAAGC
This 378-nucleotide unclassified non-coding RNA is filed under the name plant metagenome. RNAcentral describes it as "partial contains 5.8S ribosomal RNA, internal transcribed spacer 2, and large subunit ribosomal RNA". The stretch from base 1 to 105 matches the Rfam family "5.8S ribosomal RNA", at positions 50 to 154 of the family's 154-position model. The record is from RNAcentral.